This 446-nucleotide ribosomal RNA is filed under the name uncultured Gemmataceae bacterium. Its description in RNAcentral is "bacterial SSU rRNA". It matches the Rfam family "Bacterial small subunit ribosomal RNA", at positions 338 to 797 of the family's 1533-position model. The record is from RNAcentral. Lineage: Bacteria; Pseudomonadati; Planctomycetota; Planctomycetia; Gemmatales; Gemmataceae.
CCUACGGGGGGCAGCAGUCGAGGAUCUUCGUCAAUGGGCGCAAUCCUGAACGAGCGACGCCGCGUGCGCGAUGAAGGCCUUCGGGUUGUAAAGCGCGAAAGUGGGGAUAAAGCCGAAAGGUUGAUAGAUCCACAGUAAGGACGGGCUAAGUUCGUGCCAGCAGCCGCGGUAAGACGAACUGUCCUAACGUUGUUCGGAAUCACUGGGCUUAAAGGGCGCGUAGGCGGUCCGACAAGUCAGGGGUGAAAUCCUGCAGCUUAACUGCAGAAGUGCCUUUGAUACUGUCGGUCUCGAGGGAGAUAGGGGUGUGCGGAACUUCCAGUGGAGCGGUGAAAUGCGUUGAUAUUGGAAGGAACGCCGGAGGCGAAAGCGGCGCACUGGAUCUCUUCUGACGCUGAGGCGCGAAAGCUAGGGGAGCAAACGGGAUUAGAUACCCCGGUAGUCGU